AUCCUAUAGCUCUCCUGUAACUGUUCUGAGACCAGUGCAGACAGACAGCACACUUGAGGUUAAGUCAUUCACUACAUAGGGAGCAAGGGAGCAUCCUAUAGCUCUCCUGUAACUGUUCUGAGACCAGUGCAGACAGACAGCACACUUGAGGUUAAGUCAUUCACUACAUAGGGAGCAAGGGAGCAUCCUAUAGCUCUCCUGUAACUGUUCUGAGACCAGUGCAGACAGACAGCACACUUGAGGUUAAGUCAUUCACUACAUAGGGAGCAAGGGAGCAUCCUAUAGCUCUCCUGUAACUGUUCUGAGACCAGUGCAGACAGACAGCACACUUGAGGUUAAGUCAUUCACUACAUAGGGAGCAAGGGAGCAUCCUAUAGCUCUCCUGUAACUGUUCUGAGACCAGUGCAGACAGACAGCACACUUGAGGUUAAGUCAUUCACUACAUAGGGAGCAAGGGAGCAUCCUAUAGCUCUCCUGUAACUGUUCUGAGACCAGUGCAGACAGACAGCACACUUGAGGUUAAGUCAUUCACUACAUAGGGAGCAAGGGAGCAUCCUAUAGCUCUCCUGUAACUGUUCUGAGACCAGUGCAGACAGACAGCACACUUGAGGUUAAGUCAUUCACUACAUA
Molecule: long non-coding RNA, 630 nt
Organism: Xyrauchen texanus (razorback sucker)
Lineage: Eukaryota; Metazoa; Chordata; Actinopteri; Cypriniformes; Catostomidae
Exons: 3
Source: RefSeq, a predicted model, not a curated record